GAGGGUGUAGCUCAGUGGUAGAGUGCCUGCUCAGCAUGCAUGAGGUCCGGGGUUCAAUCCCUAGUACCUCCA
RNAcentral lists this transfer RNA (72 nucleotides) under Camelus bactrianus (Bactrian camel). It matches the Rfam family "tRNA". From Rfam's summary of the family: Transfer RNA (tRNA) molecules are approximately 80 nucleotides in length. Their secondary structure includes four short double-helical elements and three loops (D, anti-codon, and T loops). Lineage: Eukaryota; Metazoa; Chordata; Mammalia; Artiodactyla; Camelidae. RNAcentral also lists the same sequence under 2 other names. The record is from Rfam by way of RNAcentral.